GAUGAAGAACGCAGCGAAAUGCGAUAAGUAAUGUGAAUUGCAGAAUUCAGUGAAUCAUCGAAUCUUUGAACGCACAUUGCGCCCCUUGGUAUUCCGAGGGGCAUGCCUGUUCGAGCGUCAUUAUAACCCCUCAAGCUCAGCUUGGUGUUGGGGCCUGCCGCACGGGCAGCCCUUAAAAUCAGUGGCGGUGCCAUCUGGCUCUAAGCGUAGUAAUUCUUCUCGCUAUAGAGUCCCGGUGGAUGCUUGCCAUUAACCCCCAAUUUUCUAUGGUUGACCUCGGAUCAGGUAGGGAUACCCGCUGAACUUAAGCAUAUCAAUAAGCGGACGA
Molecule: unclassified non-coding RNA, 328 nt
Filed under: soil metagenome
Description: partial contains 5.8S ribosomal RNA, internal transcribed spacer 2, and large subunit ribosomal RNA
Rfam family: 5.8S ribosomal RNA (bases 1-120)
Source: RNAcentral